AAGUCCAAAUAGGUCCCUUAAAGGCAUCUCCGUUAAUCAGUUUGGUCCUAUUUAGACCUCUUUUUAGGGACCAAACUGAUUAACGGAGAUGUCUUUAAGGGACCUAUUCGGACU
RNAcentral lists this microRNA precursor (114 nucleotides) under Trifolium pratense (red clover). RNAcentral describes it as "pre miRNA MIR477". The record is from RNAcentral. Lineage: Eukaryota; Viridiplantae; Streptophyta; Magnoliopsida; Fabales; Fabaceae.